UUUAGGGUAAGCUAAGAUAAGCUGUUGGGCUCAUAACCCAAAAAUGACCGAGUCCCCUAAAG
This 62-nucleotide transfer RNA is filed under the name Ellobium chinense. RNAcentral describes it as "tRNA-Met". Lineage: Eukaryota; Metazoa; Mollusca; Gastropoda; Ellobiida; Ellobiidae. The record is from RNAcentral.